Molecule: non-coding RNA, 22 nt
Filed under: Arabidopsis thaliana (thale cress)
Lineage: Eukaryota; Viridiplantae; Streptophyta; Magnoliopsida; Brassicales; Brassicaceae
Source: RNAcentral
AUAUAUCCAACGUUUACUAUGC